AGCAUCAAUCCUAUCAGUUAUCUAGAUCUUCCUGAAGCCGACUCUUCUGAUGUUAAAGGUGGACUCCCAAAUUACUACCAUCCUAGUGAUCAUCUGCCAAUUGGUGCUGACUUCGUGAUUCGUACAAAAUAAAUUAGCAUCAGUACCUGGCAAGAGCACUGUUGAAAACGUUCAGUUACUUCAAUUUCCCAAUUCUUUUCAAUUUUUUUUAUCCUGGUAGAUUGUUUAGUUGGACAAUUUUGCGAGCCCAGAGCAGUUUUGCACACAACCCCAAACCCCACCAUUUUCCUUUAUGUAUGAUUUGAUUUCAACAUAUGUACUCCUUUUUUUUAUUGAAUAUGUACAAAUUAGUUGUUUAUAUUUUACAUAUAAACAUCACUCAGUUAACCUAUACUGAAAUUGAUAUGUGUAGAAAUAUGUUUUUUUUUUUUGGUGUUACAGGAACUGUCAAAGUNUUUGAAGAUAUGUAUGCGUCAGAGAGGUUUAACACUUGCUCAGUCCUUCGCCAGCUACCAAAAUUUCUCUUUUCUGAUCAGCAACAAGCUGAGAGAAUUCUUCCAAUAAUUAAUAACAUUUCCUCCAAAAACGGUGUUCGUCAUACGAAGACUGUCUGAAAAUCUCGGCGUAACAUCCUUUAAUGACAAUACGACACACAGAAAAUUCUUUAGGUCUUCAAAAUUGGACAUCCUCAGAUUAAUAUCGAAUCCACUACCGGGAAACUUGAUUAUAUGUAUCCUGAGUUUUUGAAAUUGGUACUGAUGUAUUAAAAUUGGCCAGCAAGGUCUGGAGUCUGGCAAAAUGUAAAGACAAAGGCAGAGAGGAGUUUCAGUAAUUCUAUGUUUACCCUUUCGAAGUAAAGUUGAUUCUCAUUUUGGAUGAAAAUUUGUCCUUGGGUACAAAGUGACCCAAUUUUGAGUGCUUUAGGACUAAAUUGACAGGCUUUGAAGUUCGUGUAUUGAAGUGUAUAUGGCUGUAUGUAGGGAGAUGAGAAGUGCAAUGUGUGAUUAGGCCUUCUUCUAAUUGAUUUAAAAUGCAAGAGGCCGUGCUUCUAAUUAUGAUUUGAUGGAAAUUGCAGUCACAAGCUCAUUUUCGUUGCAGGUAUAUGAAUACCUGAUUUCUGGUAACCCUUCCAUGGAACCUCAACUGGAACAGAGGGAGGAUCUUCCAAUUCCAUUAGAUAGCGUAUACGCAUAUCUGAGGGGAGAACCGCAAUUCACAAACUGCACACCUGGGUUUACUGGUACUCUUGAUUAUAUACUUUUUUCUCCCAGUGGAAGCAUCAAUCCUAUCAGUUAUCUAGAUCUUCCUGAAGCCGACUCUUCUGAUGUUAAAGGUGGACUCCCAAAUUACUACCAUCCUAGUGAUCAUCUGCCAAUUGGUGCUGACUUCGUGAUUCGUACAAAAUAAAUUAGCAUCAGUACCUGGCAAGAGCACUGUUGAAAACGUUCAGUUACUUCAAUUUCCCAAUUCUUUUCAAUUUUUUUUAUCCUGGUAGAUUGUUUAGUUGGACAAUUUUGCGAGCCCAGAGCAGUUUUGCACACAACCCCAAACCCCACCAUUUUCCU
This 1565-nucleotide long non-coding RNA is filed under the name Daucus carota (carrot). Its description in RNAcentral is "long non-coding RNA (DCAR_LNC006517)". The record is from RNAcentral. Lineage: Eukaryota; Viridiplantae; Streptophyta; Magnoliopsida; Apiales; Apiaceae.